Molecule: ribosomal RNA, 253 nt
Filed under: uncultured bacterium
Lineage: Bacteria
Description: partial 16S ribosomal RNA
Rfam family: Bacterial small subunit ribosomal RNA
Source: RNAcentral
CACGUAGGGCGCAAGCGUUGUCCGGAAUUAUUGGGCGUAAAGAGCUCGUAGGCGGCUAUUCGAGUCGGGUGUGAAAUCCUGAGGCUUAACCUUGGGUCUGCAUUCGAUACUGGGCGGCUUGAGUCUGGUAGGGGGAUCUGGAAUUCCUGGUGUAGCGGUGGAAUGCGCAGAUAUCAGGAGGAACACCGGUGGCGAAGGCGGGAUCCUGGGCCAGUACUGACGCUGAGGAGCGAAAGCGUGGGGAGCAAACAGG